This 205-nucleotide non-coding RNA is filed under the name Coprobacillus sp. RNAcentral's name for it is "T-box sequence". It matches the Rfam family "T-box leader". Rfam says of the family: Uncharged tRNA acts as the effector for transcription antitermination of genes in the T-box leader family. T-boxes are found upstream of many aminoacyl-tRNA synthetase genes and some amino acid biosynthetic genes usually in Gram-positive bacteria. The record is from RNAcentral. Lineage: Bacteria; Bacillati; Bacillota; Erysipelotrichia; Erysipelotrichales; Coprobacillaceae.
AUAAACUCAAUGAAAAAGAGAGUAGUUUUAUUGGAUAUGUUAGAGAGUCUAUGUUGGUGGAAAUUAGAUAUUGAAAAUAAAAUGAAGCGCACUUUGGAGGGGGUUAUCUGAAUACAUAGGAUAACAAGCUAACCAGCUUUAACGGUGAGGUGGAUAUGUUUAUCAUAUCAACAAGAGUGGUACCGCGGAAUCUUUCGUCUCUUAG